This is a long non-coding RNA of Orbicella faveolata, 3575 nucleotides long. RefSeq lists it as uncharacterized. The record is from RefSeq and is a predicted model, not a curated record. NCBI's taxonomy places the organism in Eukaryota, Metazoa, Cnidaria, Anthozoa, Scleractinia, Merulinidae.
CCCACUUACACUGAGUCAUUGCAAGUGAAAAACUCUAUUGAUCAAACUCAAAAUAGUGUUAGUUUGUAUUUAUAUAUGCAAAAAUAUAAUAACUACCAUGCCAUAAAUAGGUCUAAUUUGGCACCACCACUGCUCAUUAUUAGUAAUCAUAUGCAUUGGAUUUUAGUACAAGUCUGACCAUUCCUUAAAACAAUUGUUAGUGAUAUGGGCUUCUAUUAGUGGCUUGUUUUUUCAUUCGCCCUCCCCUUCUCCAUCCCAGCAAGCGUCACUGAUUAUUCUGUUACAUUCCGUGAUAAACCAUUCAUUUCCUCCUCUGGAAGCAUGUUUCUAAUUUCUUUUGCUAAUGUUCACUUGUCAAGUUUUCGACAAAUUUGUCUGCUUGGUAUGUGAUGAAAUUGAUGUUUUAGGUCGCGCGCAUCAAAAUGAUGUUAACACAUUUAGAUUGAUACUCCGACGAUAUUUGUAGGUGCCUCGAAAAGCGACAAAAUUUGGAUGUUGGUGCGUUAGUAAAAACAGUAAUUUGAUUGAGAUAACGGGCGAAACUAUUGAAUAAAAUGAACUAAGUAGUGAAGAAUAAAAGGCUCACGUUUAGAAGGGAAACUGACCUUGGGCCCUGGGAACGAGGUUAAGCUUGGUCAUAAAUCGAAGAAUAGUAAGAGUCACAAGCUGUGUUCACAUCAAAGUCGAAACGUGAUUACAGUAAACCAUGUUUCGCCUAAACAUGUUUGUUAUUGCAUUGUUCACAUCAGAUGUUGGUUUCAAACACGUUUCAUGCAUGGUUGUAUAAUUUAUGUUGUUUCAUGUACUCGCAUAAAUGUUUUACACCUCAUUAAGUUUUGCGGCAAUGUUCUCCCAAAUAUUCUGCUUUCUACCCAUCGCCGAUAAUUGCCGUUGUGUUUCUUUAUCGGCCCGUGGUUCAACUAGACAUUUGGCCUCAUAAAAGACCCAAUUUUGGUUCGUUUCAUAACGAAACAUUUUUCAUUCGUGAUCAGACUAAUCAUGUUUUGGCCUAGUGUGGACAUAACUAUAGAAAAGAAAAAUCGCUGCCAUUGUCAUCAUUGUGCGAUUUUCAUUUCUGUAGUUAUUACGAGUUAGCUUAGACUUGAGAUUUAAUAAACUGGUAAUUUUCAUUUUAUCCAUUACAGUUCGUUGGUCAACACUCAGUGUGGGUGAUAGACCUCAUGUGCAGUCAAACUGUAUUUUCUUUGUGUUCUUUUCAGUCAAAUGUGCCUCAAUGUGCGUCAGCUUUGCACUUAUCACUACAACUUACAUGUACCCCACUUCAAUAUCCGCGCGCUGGCAAGGUAAACAAAAUCCUGUAGAAGUGUAGUGAUUGGCUACAACACAAGUUUUAUUUCCCCUUGGCCCCACAAAAAUGUUUUAAAAAGUUAUAUAUUAACAGAGUUAGGGGUCUGGCUACACUAAAGGGCAGGAUAAGGUUGUUCUGCUCGCCCGGGAUUACCCACUCUAUCUCUCAAGAAAAGCGUGUUUCUUAUGCCACGUAAAAAGAUUUUCUAUUAACCUAGCCAACCUCGUUCCGAAGGCUUUUCCCGCUCCGGGAACGAGGUACAGCAAGCUACAAGUUCUUAUUUUUUUUAUUUAUUUUUUUUUUUUUGCAUGCUUAUGGACCUCGACUGCCUCUUAGAUAUAACUUAAGGAGGGUCACGAGUUAUUAAGAAAGUUGAAGUGCUAGUAAAUAAUAUUUACUGCUUGUACGAAUAAUGUUUCCAGAAGGAGUUUCGCGGGAGAAGUUUCACUCCCUCGGCAAUUUCUGUCCCUGCCAACCAGAAGUUUUAUGACAUGUUUUGGCGCAGUCUCGCUGGCAAUUGUGGUCUGAUUAUCGAUCGACGAACCCAAGCGUCUAUUGAUCUCACUACAUCCACGAGUUCUCAGUGAUGUAACUCUUUCAGUCAAAAAAUGGAUCAGUUGUCAGCAGUUACACCGAGGAAGAGGGACGAUUCGCAACUGGCCCCAAUAUAAAAAUGCAACCAUGUUGAUCGUAAACUCAGCUUUAUUUGACUUCUUCUAUAUGACCUUGAUCUUAUUUAAUCUUAUGUAAAUAUACUCAUGUGAAAUCCAAAUACAAUACUGCACAAGAAGCUCCAGAUCCCACUCCUUGGUAUGUUAUCCACUGAUGUAUUAAGAUCGGAAAUCAGAAACCAGUCAGUGGAGGCAAACUGUAUGAGUUCAACCCAUCGGCAAAACUCAAAUGCUUCAUCAUAAUGAAUUCAAAUUAACAUAUCUAGGAGCAGAGAUAUAAAUUGCAAUAGUAGUGGCAAUAACAGAGUGGUAAUUUCAAGAGUGGCCCUGGUAACGAGGUCGUGAGAAUUGAAGCAAAAGAGCGCACAAAAAAUUCAAUCGGGUAAAAAAGGCGGGCGAAACAUAAACUGUAUAUUAUAGUUUAAAUAUUAUUCGAAAACAAACUAUUCAAAACUAUGUGCUAAGCUAGCGCUUUCGAUUUUCGAGGAAAACGUCCCAUCUUCUGCGACGCAAGAAUUUGACAAAGAAACAACCUGAAGGUAUUGAAUCAUAUGCGUAUAGCAACAAAAAUAAGCAAGUAUUGAGCGGUUUGUUUAGGGAAAAUUCCCUUAACUUGUUGAUAGCUAUCAAAUGAGACCUAAAGAGGUAGGGAAAGAACCCUUCACAGAUUGACCAAUCAGAUGUUAGAAUCUCGAAAAUGAAGUUUUCUCUUUGCUUAGAAAGAAGAAAUAAACAUGAGGUCCGUCAUGCGGGCUAUAAAUUCCUGAGCCUCUAACGCGCCAAGUUCAAAUCAGCAAACUUUCAUCCACAAGAUAGAACUAAGGUACUUUGACAGAGCUUCAUCUUACAGUGUAUAAAGAAGUAGAAGAGGAAGAGGACUGCAAGACGGCAAGAAGAAUGCUGUCGCUGUUCCCGGAUCGAGAAGCAAUUAUAAAUCAGUGGAAAGAAAAUGGUAUCAAAUAUUUGUCAGAAGUUACUAGAAAAGGAGUGGAGGGCAUAUGAUAUCGAAAAUGUUCCCGGAGGCAUUGAAGGUAUAUAUUGCAUCGGUAUUUUAUCUUGCGCCCCGCGACAGUUGCGACUAGGAGAGCCAACAGUUCUUUACGUGGGCCGAACGAAUGACGUCCACAGACGACUGGCCGAGCACAAGAGGCAAAACUUAAAGAUUGACGAGUUUGUGAAAGCAGAAUUCCAGGAAAAUGGAGGUGAAGACUUGUGAGUCAAGUGGGUUAAGGAGAACAAUAAAGAGGCCACUGAGAAAGAAUAUAUUCAAUGUAUGGCACAUAAAUUAAAAUACUGGCCUAAGUAUAACAUAAAGCAUUGAAAGUAGAGGGUAAACAUUAACAUAGGCUUUAGACUGUCAGUGUCAUUGUUGGAAAGAAUUACCCAAGCUUGUGAGUCAAGCCAGCCUAAAGUGUUGUCUUUAAUAUUUAAAACAUUUAUUUGUUAUUGUUUGGUAUUGUAUUACUUUUAUUGUAUUUUUUUUUUUUUGUUUUUUGUUUUGGUAUUUUAUCACUUUUAUAUCAAUGAACAGAGUUAUACAAGCAUAACAGACAAAUUUAAAUCAAUUACGUUCAAUAAACUAACUUUUUCCUGCC